Lycium ferocissimum is the source of this 380-nucleotide long non-coding RNA. RefSeq lists it as uncharacterized. Lineage: Eukaryota; Viridiplantae; Streptophyta; Magnoliopsida; Solanales; Solanaceae. The record is from RefSeq and is a predicted model, not a curated record. The transcript is spliced from 2 exons.
GAAAAAUUCCUCAAAGGUGCUUCUUCUUCUUCAUCAUUAUUAUUACAAAACCCAUGUUCAAAAUUAAGGGAAUAACUGAAGGGAUCAUAACGAAACUCAGUAGAAGAGUGUCUUUUAUGCCUAUUUCCAACGAAAUUGAGAACAGUUAAGACCUUCUCUUUUAAAUUCGGGGGUUCUUCCGGGUUGACCCAGAUUAGACCCGGAUUUUCAUCGGAGGAUGAAGGCUGAGGUGGCGGAGGACGGCGGUGAGGGAAGCAACAGGAAAAGCAAAGAGAGUUCUUGAGUUUCUGUUUGAGAGAUGGACGUGAAGUGGCUAUGGAGAAUUGAUUGUUUUCGUCCAUUUGGAGUUGAAAUUCCAACUGAAAAAUGGUGGAGAAAAA